GGAUUUCAAACCUUCUGGGUUUCUUCCCAGCGCUAAAUCCUGUCGACUGGAUUCACUAGGAUGAAUAGAGAAAGAAGUGUUACAUUUUAAGAUAAUUUCUUUUCUAAACACACAGAAAGUUUUGAAACCAAUGGAGAGAUCAACACAAGCUUUGGAGAGGAGAUCAAAAUAUCUGCUUCACUGGAAGGAGUUUUGGAUUGCUCAACAAGGUUCAGAUCUGUGGCAUAAUCAGGCUUCCUAAUCCUGAACCAAAGUUGUUGUUGUAUCUCGUAGUUGUCACCUGAGAGCUGACUGACCUGUUUCAAGCAUAUGUGAGAUGCCUUCUGGAAAUGCCCGGAAGCAUAUAGCUAAUGGGAUGAGGCAUUUCAAGGUUGAACUUCAGCAAGAGCAAGUGGGAUAAAGGGCAAAAAGCAGCACAUUCCUUUCAAAAUGUCCCCAUUUUAAACUGCAGGCUAGAGUAGACAAUGGAAAUAUAUGACAUAUAAAGAAACUGGUGAGAUUAUUAAGCAGAGGGCCUUCUGGGGAGCAUUAAAGAGUGAGCAAGAAAAAUUUCUCAGACAUGGUGAUUCUAGAAUUGAAAAAUCAUAGACUCUUUCUCUUCUCUCUCCUUUGAGAGUUUCCAGAUGAAUUCUUGGAUCUGGCUACUGAGCAAAUAUAUGAAUAAUAACCUAGGAUCAGCUGGGUAUAAGAGGUUUCCACCAGAAGUCCAUGAAAACCAAUGUUUUUAAGCAUCUAUUGGGCAACUACCAUAAACAAUCAGCAAGAUGUUUAAACAGUUGAUUCUGCCGGCGGCCCAACCAGUUUUUAACUGUAUCACGAAAACUGGCCUGGGGGUACAGUCUGAGAUUAUUCCAGCCCUGCUUUUACACCGCCAGAAAUUCCCUUUCUGUUACAAAUUUCUACCCCAGAGAGGUUUGCAUAUUCUUGGCAUUUUCACUGUGCAUCAGUGAAUCAGCUAGCCUACGGGCCAAGGAGAGGGGAAAAAAAUCCCAAAUAAAACUCAACCCAGUUAGGAUGUCUUCAUCUAUUUUUCAGUGGGAAAAAAUACAGCUGGACUCAGUGACUUCAGUCAAAAGCAAACAUUACUAGUUGCUUCAUUUUUCUAAUUUUUAUUUUUGACUCUCAAGUUUUGGAGGGCAUAAUAAAGACAUAGCCUCAGCAAAGUCACUUAGAAGAUUGAGUUCGUUAUUUUGCAAAGCUUGGGUAGUGACACUUCUGCAAAAUGCACAAGCACAUGAGCAGAGAGAUGUGUGAAUUCAGGAAAGCAGCCAAAUGCACAUCAGAGCUGAGGAAUGUCACAGCGAAAUGAAGAAAACUUGUAAACACCUAUCUGUAUUUUUAGGUAGAGAAUGUUCUAACAUAUUGCCAAUGGGUGCUGCCUGUGUGUUCCUUCCCCUAAGCUUUAAACUCAACUGAUAUUAAAGGUGAUUUGAAAACAAUGAAAA
This 1445-nucleotide long non-coding RNA is filed under the name Homo sapiens (human). Its description in RNAcentral is "long intergenic non-protein coding RNA 989". Lineage: Eukaryota; Metazoa; Chordata; Mammalia; Primates; Hominidae. The record is from RNAcentral.